AAACCAACAGGGAUUACCUUAGUAACGGCGAGUGAAGCGGUAAAAGCUCAAAUUUGAAAUCUUCGGAAUUGUAAUUUGAUGGAUAAAAUUGCCACGGACAAAAGUUCACUGGAAAGUGACGCCGUAGAGGGUGAUAGCCCCGUUUACGUCCACCGACACUAUAAUUUUAUUCCAAAGAGUCGGGUUGUUUGGGAAUGCAGCUCAAAGUGGGUGGUAAAUUCCAUCUAAAGCUAAAUAUUGACGAGAGACCGAUAGCGAACAAGUACAGUGAUGGAAAGAUGAAAAGAACUUUGAAAAGAGAGUGAAACAGUACGUGAAAUUGUUGAAAGGGAAGGGGAGGGAAGAUGUUAAAGGGACUCCUUCUUUAGUAGGGAUCCCCCCAAGAGUCUUUCCUCUCGCCCGUCUUGAAACACG
This 414-nucleotide ribosomal RNA is filed under the name [Candida] ipomoeae. RNAcentral's name for it is "LSU rRNA". It matches the Rfam family "Eukaryotic large subunit ribosomal RNA", at positions 62 to 663 of the family's 3401-position model. Lineage: Eukaryota; Fungi; Ascomycota; Pichiomycetes; Serinales; Metschnikowiaceae. The record is from RNAcentral.